This 391-nucleotide unclassified non-coding RNA is filed under the name soil metagenome. RNAcentral describes it as "partial contains 5.8S ribosomal RNA, internal transcribed spacer 2, and large subunit ribosomal RNA". The stretch from base 1 to 122 matches the Rfam family "5.8S ribosomal RNA", at positions 35 to 154 of the family's 154-position model. The record is from RNAcentral.
GAUGAAGAACGCAGCGAAAUGCGAUACUUGGUGUGAAUUGCAGAAUCCCGUGAACCAUCGAGUCUUUGAACGCAAGUUGCGCCCGAAGCCACUAGGCCGAGGGCACGCCUGCCUGGGCGUCACACGCCGUUGCCCCCCCAUCUACUCCUUCGGGAUUGCGGGGGGGCGGAUGAUGGCCUCCUGUGCGCCUAGCCGCGCGGUUGGCAUAAAUACCAAGUCCUCGGCGACGCACGCCACGACAAUCGGUGGUUGCGAAACCUCGUUUGCCCGUCGUGUGCGUUCGUCGCGCAUCGAGGGCUCGAAAAAAUGCUCGGCUCCGGCUGGGCUUUCAACGCGACCCCAGGUCAGGCGGGGUUACCCGCUGAAUUUAAGCAUAUCAAUAAGCGGAGGA